Molecule: long non-coding RNA, 323 nt
Filed under: Neodiprion lecontei (redheaded pine sawfly)
Lineage: Eukaryota; Metazoa; Arthropoda; Insecta; Hymenoptera; Diprionidae
Description: uncharacterized LOC124295009
Source: RNAcentral
UAAGAAAGGGCGACUACCAAGACUUUUGUAUGCAAUUUCAGACAAAUCCGGAAGUAAACAAAAUUACCUGAGAAUCCGAGAUGUAGAACGCAACGAUGUCCCCGAAAAAGAAGCCCGACCGCAAAACUCCGAAGACCCGACCUUACAAAGUCUACUUGAUUUGCCUCGGAUCGUUGAAAACUUCUGGACCUGGGUCGGCUGUGUGGGCUUAGAGUCUUAAGCUCAGGAUUAAUCGCAAAAUAUACAGACUUGACACCAGUUCGUAACAUUUUUGUCCAUGAUGAAAAAUUGUUUGAUUAAUUAAUAAACGUUUGUAAAUUGUA